AGAGUUUGAUCAUGGCUCAGGAUGAACGCUGGCGGCGUGCCUAACACAUGCAAGUCGAGCGAUUUACUUCGGUAAAGAGCGGCGGACGGGUGAGUAACGCGUGGGUAACCUGCCCUAUACACACGGAUAACAUACCGAAAGGUAUGCUAAUACGAGAUAAUAUAAGAGAUUCGCAUGGAUUUCUUAUCAAAGCUGAGGCGGUAUAGGAUGGACCCGCGUCUGAUUAGCUAGUUGGUAAGGUAACGGCUUACCAAGGCGACGAUCAGUAGCCGACCUGAGAGGGUGAUCGGCCACAUUGGAACUGAGACACGGUCCAAACUCCUACGGGAGGCAGCAGUGGGGAAUAUUGCACAAUGGGCGAAAGCCUGAUGCAGCAACGCCGCGUGAGUGAUGAAGGCCUUCGGGUCGUAAAACUCUGUCCUCAAGGAAGAUAAUGACGGUACUUGAGGAGGAAGCCCCGGCUAACUACGUGCCAGCAGCCGCGGUAAUACGUAGGGGGCUAGCGUUAUCCGGAUUUACUGGGCGUAAAGGGUGCGUAGGUGGUCUCUUAAGUCAGGAGUGAAAGGCUACGGCUUAACCGUAGUAAGCUCUUGAAACUGGGAGACUUGAGUGCAGGAGAGGAAAGUGGAAUUCCUAGUGUAGCGGUGAAAUGCGUAGAUAUUAGGAGGAACACCAGUAGCGAAGGCGGCUUUCUGGACUGUAACUGACACUGAGGCACGAAAGCGUGGGGAGCAAACAGGAUUAGAUACCCUGGUAGUCCACGCCGUAAACGAUGAGUACUAGGUGUCGGGGGUUACCCCCCUCGGUGCCGCAGCUAACGCAUUAAGUACUCCGCCUGGGGAGUACGCUCGCAAGAGUGAAACUCAAAGGAAUUGACGG
Molecule: ribosomal RNA, 879 nt
Filed under: uncultured bacterium
Lineage: Bacteria
Description: bacterial SSU rRNA
Rfam family: Bacterial small subunit ribosomal RNA
Source: RNAcentral